CUUGUAAGCUCCAUGAAGGCAGUGGAAAUAACUGUCUUGUUCAUCACUGUAUCCUCAGUGCUUUGUUUAGUACAGCGCCUGGCACAUAGGAAGCACAGAAUGCAUGCUUGCUUAAUGACUAUGUGGAUAAGCCAAAACUGGCCACCAGUGCAAUAAUGAGGUCUGAAAAGCAUAUAAUGUUGGUGCAAUGUUUAGUAUCCUGAAGUACAUUCCUGCUUCUGGAAAAGAGAUUUCCCUUCCAGUUUAAAUGUCCUGAAUUACGUUUAGCCACAUUGCCACCUUUCAAAAUCUAAGAGAUUCUUAGACUAUAAGCGCAAUUCCAAAUACACAGACAUUCCUGGCAACUGAAGGAACACCCAUGAAUGUCAGAGGGACUUUCUUUAAAUGAAUCGGAUUUAUAGGGUGAGAAGAGCUAUGUGAAUCUAGGCCAGAGGCCAAAGUUCCUCAUUUAUUCCAUCGUUGGCAAGUGAGGGCCUCAACAAGAUAUAAAAACUCCUGACUUCUGCAAACCUGCCCUUGACGAACACUCAGUUGAGAAAGCUGUGUGCACACCUGUCUCUGUCCGCUCUGCUCUGGUGUCUGGCUGCUUCAGGCAUAAUUCAGUCCCUUGGAAGAAACAUGGACAUUGCAAGAGUGGCUGUGCUACUUUCUAGCUGCGUGGCCCUGAUCGGCUCACUUUACCUCUCUUUGCCUGCAAAAUGAGGAGGUGGGUCCUCUAAUAUCCAACUCAGCUUGAGUGUCUAGAAAAUUGGAACCCAGUCCCUGAGGGCCAAGACACAACUCAGCUAUUCUACUUACUGGCUGUCUGAUUUAUCAGUGACCAAAUUCAUUUUGCACUGUUAGAGGAGGAACACUUCCUCGUAUCAGAAACCAGGUCUCAUUUUGGACAAUGAAGUCAAUUUAGUGUGAACUCUCCACUAGAUUGUGAGCUCACUGAGGACAGAAGCUGCGUCAUGCCCUGUUUCUACAGUGCCUGGUUUAUAGCAGAUCCUCAACAAACGUUUGUCAGUGAAGGAAUGAAGCUUCAUCUCUGUUCCGGGUGCCCACAGGGCUGUGAAGGCCAGGAAAAUGGUCACCAGAUCAUCUCUCCCCUGAUCAUGUCUGCGACUGACUAGAGAGACAGCUGAGAGUCAAAGGUGAACAACCACACUUGUGAGAGCCUAGUGACACGUACAUACUCCUGGCCCACAGUUGGCAGGAGAAGCAUCUCUGCCCUCCUGGUGACCCACUCCUCAUGACCCACAGGAGCAAAGGAGCCUUUGCACUUGAAGCGAUGGUGUUUAAGGACUUGGUUCCACAGCCAGAGCAUCUGAUUUGAAGUUGAACUCUGCCUUUUACUAGUCAUGUGAUUUUGGGCUAGUUAAUUAACCUUAAGUGCCUCAGUUUUUUCAUCUAUGAGAUAGGGACCAUGAUAUGACUUGCCAGGCAGAGUAUCUGCAAUGUUUCAAUGACACAUGUAAAGCACUUAGAACAGGACCUGAAACAUAUUAGGC
Molecule: long non-coding RNA, 1493 nt
Filed under: Macaca mulatta (Rhesus monkey)
Lineage: Eukaryota; Metazoa; Chordata; Mammalia; Primates; Cercopithecidae
Description: lncRNA (ENSMMUG00000063507.1)
Source: RNAcentral